Trachemys scripta elegans is the source of this 655-nucleotide long non-coding RNA. RefSeq lists it as uncharacterized. The record is from RefSeq and is a predicted model, not a curated record. The transcript has 3 exons. NCBI's taxonomy places the organism in Eukaryota, Metazoa, Chordata, Testudines, Emydidae.
UGGCCCAUGGGGAGAAUAAUCCUUCCUUUCUCUCCUGUGCCCCCAUUUUCUCUUUUGUUUAUGUAGCCUGUAAACUCUUAAGGGCAGAGUCAAUCUCUCACUAUGUGUUUGUGCAGCUCCUAGCACCAUGAGGCCCUGGUCUCAGCUACGGCCACUGGACACUACUAUAAUGCAAAUCAAUACUGCCAUUUCAGCAGUGGAUGCACCGAUUUCUAUCUGCCGUUCGUGAAAAGCACUAGGACCCCCUUAGGAUGAAAGAAAAGAUACAGCUGAGACACCAUAUGUGGAAGCGACUUGCCCAAAGCAACACAGCUGAGCGAGGAACAGAACCAAGAAUUGAACCCAGGAGUCCUGCUCUGACUAAGACAACCCUGACACCGAAGGUGCUGCAGUUACAAGACCCUACAGAAGACUGGAGCACCUUCAGUAUCCAAAUGGGAGAGAGCCUGUUCAUCUGAACCUCACGCAGCUACAAUUGGCUGUAAAAGGGAUGGUUUUCUUUAUUCAACUAAAGUUUCCUGGGAAGAAGUGGCAAUAAUCCAAGCUCCUACUGUAGAUCAGGGUGGGGUGGAUUUUCAAAGGCACAAACUGGAGUAGGAUGCCUAAUUGCCCUUUGGGCCUCAGGAAAACAUGUAGUUGUUAUGGACUGCUCCAG